UAUGCUUUUGCUCCCUAUUCAAAAUUACGAUUUUGCCCUCAGUUCAAAAUUUUGAUUUUGCUCCAUGUCUUUUUGUCCCCAGCUUAAAAUUAUGAUUUUGUGCUUAGUGCAAAGUUAUAUUACGAUUUUGUCUCCGGUUCAAAUUUAUAGUAUUGCCAUCACUUUAACUUUUGCCAAAUUAUGAUUUUACCCAAGUCAACAGAUACAACUUUGCCCUUGGUUCAAAUUAC
RNAcentral lists this long non-coding RNA (230 nucleotides) under Helianthus annuus (common sunflower). RNAcentral describes it as "hypothetical non coding rna". The record is from RNAcentral. Lineage: Eukaryota; Viridiplantae; Streptophyta; Magnoliopsida; Asterales; Asteraceae.